GACGAACCGUGCGAACGUUAUUCGGAAUCACUGGGCUUAAAGCGCGUGUAGGCGGGAGGGUACGUCCGUCGCUGAAAUCCCCCGGCUCAACCGGGGAACGGGCGCGGAUACGACCUUCCUGGAGGGGCGUAGGGGGACCUGGAACUUCCGGUGGAGCGGUGAAAUGCGUUGAGAUCGGAAGGAACGCCCGUGGCGAAAGCGAGGUCCUGGACGUUUUCUGACGCUGAGACGCGAAAGCCAGGGGAGCAAACGGG
This 254-nucleotide ribosomal RNA is filed under the name uncultured bacterium. RNAcentral describes it as "partial 16S ribosomal RNA". It matches the Rfam family "Bacterial small subunit ribosomal RNA", at positions 524 to 776 of the family's 1533-position model. The record is from RNAcentral.